Paramuricea clavata is the source of this 224-nucleotide non-coding RNA. The record is from the annotation of a GenBank genome assembly. Lineage: Eukaryota; Metazoa; Cnidaria; Anthozoa; Malacalcyonacea; Plexauridae.
AAGAACUAUACGAUUUACAUACUACAUGCAGUAUACCAAACUGGUCAAAUAUACAAGAUUGAUGCGUGUAUUCCCAGCCAAGACCAGAAGAAAGGAACGUGGAUGAGUUAUUCAACCAAUAAUGGUUUUUGGGUUAUUGUAAACAUUGUAACCAGUUCUUAGUUGAAUAUUUCAAUUUCUGAUGUCGAGAAUUUGAACUCACCGGCGAGGAGGUUUUUUGUUUG